CUCCCUCCGAGAACUCCCCACCUUGCUCUUGGGGUGACUCGAACUCACAACCUCUUGGUUGGAAGUGGAGGGUGCUUACCACUAGAGCAACCCACUCUUUUCUAUCAACAGCCCUGGCAUCAAAAAAUGUUGAUGAAAAGAAUGAUGACAAUGAUGCUAAAUCAGUCAUCUAUGUCUUUAUCCCGAAUAGUUUGGGUCGGCUAUAUGAACCUGUGUUCAUUCACUCUAAACCCUAAACCUAGUGAACGAGGCUGUGAUGAUCUUAUCCAGAAAGCUUGAAAUCUCAGAUAUUUGUGCUGAUUCUUAGCUUGGCUGGGGAACGUAGGGGGAGUUUUGGUUUUUAGCUUUGGUUUUUGAUACUUUUAAACAAAUCUGAGCCUCAUUUUUGUGUUACUUUCAAUUCCUUGGACAAUCUGUCAACAUUUUCUUUUCUGGUUCUUUUUUUAUGUCUACAUUUUUCUAGGUUAUUACCCCCUCUUCAUACAACAACCAUGCUUCAGUUUCAAGCUAGUUGCAGUCAGUUAUAUGAAUCCUCACUAUUUUUUCUACUUCAUUUGGACCCAUUUUAUUCCAACAUUCGAUAAUUUGAGGCUCUCUUAACUCUAGAAGUUCUAACGUACAAAUCUUGAAAUAUACUAAAAGGCCUCCCAGUAAACACUACACGUAAUGUAAGUGUACAAAGCCUUAUUCCACUUUUGAAAAGAAGUUUCAUGUAUUCUCCUCAAAUUUUGAUUCCAUUUUCUGGAUCUUUAGAAUCCACAUUCUCUGAGGCAGUGAAGAUUAUCUUAAUAAGACUGAACAAUAUUUUUGAGCUAAUUCCUGGCUUGGCACUUGGAAGGUCUGUGAAGGAUGUUGUUCCUUCUCAUGAGGCAACCAUGUAUGCAGCUAUGAAAGUUUUAGCUCUGCUCUUUGAUUAAAUAGGCGAAAAUCUGAGCCUCCUCCAUACCUCAGUUUAACUUUUGUUUGAACACUGUAAUUGUAUAUUGGUGAAGCUUUCUGGGAAUAAAUUUGAACUUAAAUGUCAGUCUUAAACUGAUUUCGAGUUUCAUAGUUGUUUUGUGAUAGUUGGGUUUUCAUGAAAAAAAUUACAAAAAAUGUCAUGGUCUCUUGUCUUGAUGUCGUCAUGUCUUUAAUAGUUCAUUCUGAAUUUUUCUAACUUGCCCCGUAUAAGAAAUGAUGAUGAUAGCAAAAUUAUUGAUGGAGAGAAUUGACAGAAAACAACUGUCUUUUAGCUUUCACUGACAAGCCCAUCUAAAAUUUGAUAGGUGGGGAUAUCCUUGCGCCUUAAUAGCACUGGACUUUUCCAGUUUUACUUGAGAUGUUCAAGCCUUCCUAGUCGACCAAGGUAUUCAGCAUUCUUGAAGACAAAGUUGCAGGUAAUACAUACUCUUUGCCUUUAGGACGAAAUGUUUGAAUGAAGCACAAACCUAGAUUCUUAUAUGCCUUUUUCCCAUGUUCUUGCUUGCAGUUCCUUUUGUGUUUCUUUACUAAAAUCAUUGUACGCUUUAGCUGCAACUGGACUAGAAGUCUAAAACAAAGAAGAGAGAGAGGGAGGGAGCGAGAGAUUUGGGAAUAAGUAGUAUUUCGUUUCUUUUGUAUUAAAAGGCUUUUAAUUUUUGGAAAGCUCCCGCUCUGUUAUGUGUUUUAUUUGUAUUGCAAGGUUAAAGAGAAAAUUUGCAAGAAGCUUUGUUGUUGCUCUGAGUUGAUUAAUUGAUGAAGCAUCCUGAUGUUGUGGUUGUUGGGAGGAGAUUAACUGAGACCACCAGAGUUCAACUUCAUGUUUGUCAUUUGGAUUAGAAAGUCAAUUAUGUCAGCACCUUCUUUAGUGCUUUCUGUUAGGCAAAUAGAGCUGUCAAUUGAAAGGCGUGUUGUUAAUGCACAUAUGUAAUUGAUCAUCUGUUCCAGGUUACGAGACCCAUUAUUAAAUCCUUUCAAGUAAGUAGUAAAUAAUAUCCUCUAGCAGGGAUUUAAAUGGAGAUCUAUUGGGACUCCCCUGGAAGCAUUCUGACUUCCAGUCAAGGAAGCCGCCAUAAGAUGAACUGCGAGCGCUUGAGCAGGCAAGAAUUGUAUGUAAGGUUUUCUCUUUGUCUAUUAUCUGUAAUUCUAGCCUGUAUACAGGUAAGUAAAGCAUGUGUGUGUUCUUCCUGUUAAUUUUUUUUUAAAAAAAACGUGUGUUCCUUUUUCUCGUUAAUAGUGGUCACCUUUGUGUAUGUGCAUGAUCGAGAGUGAGAUUUUGAUCUCUGAAGAUCUGCUUUUGGAUUAAUUGAGACCAUCCACGCUCAACUAAUUCUCUACGAGGGCUAUUUAAUGGCAUAAGACAUUGCUUCAUGAUGUCUAAUUAUUUCCUUGAUCUUUUCCAAAACUCCCUGCAAACUCUAUGGGAGAUUUAGAAGUGAGGGAAGCCUGUCGUAUCCAAUGGCUGCUACGCCAGUCCAAGUAUAGUCUGUGACUGUCUACAGCAAGAGUUGAUAAUGAACUGCAGAUACUCCUGUGGCGUAACUGCAGUUUAAAGAAGGAAAUUGCCAUUUGCAAAGACAAAUGCAGAUAAAAUUUCAAGUCCUGUUGUGUGAUCAUCAGCCACUGAUUGUACUCUAGGCUCUAAAUGCUGUGCUUUAUUGGCAGGCCAUAUGUGUUGGAACAGGGAUUUCCUCACAGCCAAAGUCUUUAUCUGCUUGUUUGCAAUGAACUAUUCGUCUUAUUGGUUGUGACUUAAGCUCUGUCCAUCGGAAACUAUGAUAUGAACUCUGUUGGAAGAUCUUUCACCAACGCUCCUGCAUUCUUAAGCAACCAAACUCAGUAGAUGGUAUGCAACUGAUCUCCCUGUGCUCGAUUAACUGUAUGAGAUGGUCUUGGAAACUCGGAUUCUGCUGGUCAUGUUAUGAGGGAAACUGCAGGACUAGUUACAGGAAGUGAUAACUAUGAAGAUGAAUUUAUGUUGAGUGAGGUUCCUAUUUAAUUGACAAAGUUGGAUUUUUUUGCAAGCUAUAACGUGUAAAUAUUGAACCAAAAGCACAAACAUUAUAGGAUUGUUUUCUGCUGUUGUGGAAGCUUGUAAUCUGUGUAUAUAAAUGGUUGACAUAGGACCAAUGCAAAUAUGAGAUUAUCGUCUAUACUAGUUCUAGUU
Non-coding RNA from Nicotiana tabacum (common tobacco), 3124 nucleotides. The record is from RefSeq and is a predicted model, not a curated record. NCBI's taxonomy places the organism in Eukaryota, Viridiplantae, Streptophyta, Magnoliopsida, Solanales, Solanaceae.